This 552-nucleotide long non-coding RNA is filed under the name Citrus sinensis (sweet orange). RNAcentral's name for it is "long non-coding RNA (CSIN_LNC001907)". The record is from RNAcentral. Lineage: Eukaryota; Viridiplantae; Streptophyta; Magnoliopsida; Sapindales; Rutaceae.
AGUGUGGGGAAGGUUCUAGAAGGUGAAAGGAGGGUGCUUGCAGAGGAAAGCGAUGAUUUUGAUGAGGAUUUGGAUGAUGGGUUAGAUGAUGAUGAUGAAGAAGAAGAAGAAGAAGAAGGAAGUGAGGGUGAAGAGGAAAAGAAGGGGAAGGGAGGAGCAGAAGGAGGGAUAGAGGAUGAGUUUUUGAAGAUAAAUGAAUUGCAAGAGUAUCUAGAAGAGGAUGAGGCGAGGGAAUAUGGGUUGAAGAAGGAUAGUAAUGAUAGUAGAAAGAAAGGAGGACGAAGGGUUUUGGAUAAUGAAGAAGAUGAGGAUGAGGAUGAGGAAGAUGAAGAUGAGGAGGAGGUAUUUUGUUUUUAUUUUUGCUUGAAAGUAAAAUGUGAAGUUGAAUUGCUAAACUUAUAAUAUGGAUGCUUUGAUAUGAUGGAUUUGUCUUAAUAAUUUUAUUCAAGGAUUUGAGGCUGGAUUUGUUAUGUAAAUUGUUUCAUGAAUAUCAUUUGUAGACAUUGCAGUUGGCUUAGUAAUUAAUGGUUUAGAAAGUUAUCUUAUUCUUCC